UCUUUUUAAUGUGGAGUGUGUGGAAAAAAAUAAAAAGUAUGGCGGUCUUUAAUCUUGUCAGAGGGACAUGUGUUGAAAACGAAUUUGCACGAAGAUCUGUCCUAAUUUUGAAUGGUUCAUUAUGUACACCGCUGUCUGAAAGAAAUUGUAAAAGUAUUUUCUUCCUUCCUUUAAGGAAAUAAGGCAAGUUAAGGUGCAGGUUAUAAUUAGGUGAUAUGUGUUCCAAUAUGAAAUUAUAGACAAGUGGUUGAAAAUAACUUGGAAAAAGAAUUUGAUAGUAAAAUCAGGUUAAUAAACUAAUUUGAAAAAGAGCUAUAAAAGGUGU
This 325-nucleotide ribosomal RNA is filed under the name Guimaraesiella sp. IZGAS 6_J0711. Its description in RNAcentral is "partial small subunit ribosomal RNA". RNAcentral also lists the same sequence under 1 other name. Lineage: Eukaryota; Metazoa; Arthropoda; Insecta; Psocodea; Philopteridae. The record is from RNAcentral.